RNAcentral lists this transfer-messenger RNA (379 nucleotides) under Candidatus Anoxychlamydiales bacterium. RNAcentral describes it as "transfer-messenger RNA, SsrA". It matches the Rfam family "transfer-messenger RNA". Rfam says of the family: Bacterial tmRNA, also known as 10Sa RNA or SsrA, is named for its dual tRNA and mRNA-like properties. Its role is to liberate the mRNA from a stalled ribosome. Lineage: Bacteria; Pseudomonadati; Chlamydiota; Chlamydiia; Candidatus Anoxychlamydiales. The record is from RNAcentral.
GGGGGUGCACAGGUUUCGACUGGAAAAAUAGUGUGUUAGUGGCAUGCAGAGGUUUAUCGGUUGGCCUCUUAAAAAGCCGAUAAAAAACAUAAACGGCAAAGAAAACACUCUUGCUAUGGCUGCAUAAGACCUAACAGUUUUAUGUGCUCGACGUAUAUAAGAUCUGAUCGAGAGUCUUGUAAGUACGUUGUUAUAUAAUCUUGAUGCGAAUGGUAUCUAUUCUUACUAGAUCUUAGAUGCCAUUUUUAAAAUAAGAUUUGGUAAUCGAUCCCUUUGUAGGGAGUCUUAUACCAGGAUCGAUUUAUAUUUAAGACUCUAAGCAUGUAGUCAUUGAUAAUUACGUUUUUUUAGGACGAGAGUUCGAUUCUCUCCACCUCCA